AGAUUUGAAAUUUGGGAGCCGUUGGCGCCCUAUUUUCUAUUUUAUUUUUAUUUUCCUUUAUUUGUUUUCUUUUCAAUUUAAUUUAUCACUCAUUUUAAUUCAUUUUGAUCCAAUUUUUUUUACACAAAGUCUUUAAACAUAUUUUGUACCACAUACAUUUUUAUCCUAAUUUUUAAACUCAUUUUUGCAUAUAUUGUAAUUUUUCUUUUUUUCUUUUUAUUUUUUAUUUCUUUUUUCAAGUUAUUUUUCAAGCAUUCCAAAAUAUUUUUGCG
This 272-nucleotide long non-coding RNA is filed under the name Lathyrus oleraceus (garden pea). Its description in RNAcentral is "Pisum sativum (pea) long non-coding RNA (PSAT_LNC015745)". The record is from RNAcentral. Lineage: Eukaryota; Viridiplantae; Streptophyta; Magnoliopsida; Fabales; Fabaceae.